RNAcentral lists this ribosomal RNA (81 nucleotides) under Triticum aestivum (bread wheat). Lineage: Eukaryota; Viridiplantae; Streptophyta; Magnoliopsida; Poales; Poaceae. The record is from RNAcentral.
GGAUGCGAUCAUACCAGCACUAAAGCACCGGAUCCCAUCAGAACUCCGAAGUUAAGCGUGCUUGGGCGAGAAUAGUACUNN